UACGUAGGGUGCAAGCGUUAAUCGGAAUUACUGGGCGUAAAACGUGCGCAGGCGGUUAUGUAAGACAGAUGUGAAAUGCCCGGGCUUAACCUGGGAACUGCAUUUGUGACUGCAUGGCUAGAAUCUGGCAGAGGGGGGUAGAAUUCCACGUGGUAGCAGUGAAAUGCGUAGAUAUGUGGAGGAAUACCGAUGGCGAAGGCAGCCCCCUGGGCUAAGAUUGACGCCUCAUGCACGAAAGCGUGGGGAGCAAACAGG
Molecule: ribosomal RNA, 255 nt
Filed under: uncultured bacterium
Lineage: Bacteria
Description: partial 16S ribosomal RNA
Rfam family: Bacterial small subunit ribosomal RNA
Source: RNAcentral